This 284-nucleotide long non-coding RNA is filed under the name Elaeis guineensis (African oil palm). Its description in RNAcentral is "long non-coding RNA (EGUI_LNC003157)". The record is from RNAcentral. Lineage: Eukaryota; Viridiplantae; Streptophyta; Magnoliopsida; Arecales; Arecaceae.
UCCCAUGUGACAUCCCUUGGCCCCCUAUUUAUAGGGGACACCCCAAAUGGCUGAUGGCUAUGAUUUUUGGUUGAAACCAGAGAGGAGGGACAUGGUAAAUAUAGAAAAAAUUUUGAAAAAAUAAAAAAAUUUGAGUGGCAAAAGUUGCAAGAAGGAUCAUGAGAUUUUUAGCAAGUGUUGCUAAUGUGCCCUAGGGUUUGGUUUUUCUAUAUGUUGGAGUCAAAAAUCAAAUCUUAAAUUGUAUGACAUCUGAAGAGUGUCUUCUUGGUAUCAUUCUGGUGGCA